GUCGACCGGCGCACGGGUGAGUAACGCGUAUCCAACCUGCCCACCACUUGGGGAUAACCUUUGCGAAAGUAAGACUAAUACCCAAUGAUAUCUCUAGAAGACAUCUGAAAGAGAUUAAAGAUUUAUCGGUGAUGGAUGGGGAUGCGUCUGAUUAGCUUGUUGGCGGGGUAACGGCCCACCAAGGCGACGAUCAGUAGGGGUUCUGAGAGGAAGGUCCCCCACAUUGGAACUGAGACACGGUCCAAACUCCUACGGGAGGCAGCAGUGAGGAAUAUUGGUCAAUGGGCGAGAGUCUGAACCAGCCAAGUAGCGUGCAGGAUGACGGCCCUAUGGGUUGUAAACUGCUUUUAUAAGGGAAUAAAGUGAGUCUCGUGAGACUUUUUGCAUGUACCUUAUGAAUAAGGACCGGCUAAUUCCGUGCCAGCAGCCGCGGUAAUACGGAAGGUCCGGGCGUUAUCCGGAUUUAUUGGGUUUAAAGGGAGCGUAGGCCGGAGAUUAAGCGUGUUGUGAAAUGUAGACGCUCAACGUCUGCACUGCAGCGCGAACUGGUUUCCUUGAGUACGCACAAAGUGGGCGGAAUUCGUGGUGUAGCGGUGAAAUGCUUAGAUAUCACGAAGAACUCCGAUUGCGAAGGCAGCUCACUGGAGCGCAACUGACGCUGAAGCUCGAAAGUGCGGGUAUCGAACAGGAUUAGAUACCCUGGUAGUCCGCACGGUAAACGAUGGAUGCCCGCUGUUGGUCUGAACAGGUCAGCGGCCAAGCGAAAGCAUUAAGCAUCCCACCUGGGGAGUAC
RNAcentral lists this ribosomal RNA (793 nucleotides) under uncultured bacterium. Its description in RNAcentral is "bacterial SSU rRNA". It matches the Rfam family "Bacterial small subunit ribosomal RNA", at positions 90 to 883 of the family's 1533-position model. The record is from RNAcentral.